AUGCCAUGUGUUUGUGCAAGGUUACCACGUUUCAACAAGAAAUCAGAGCUCAAUCUGCACCACAUCUACAUAUUAGCUCGAACUGAGCGUCCGGCCGGGCUCCGGAGUCCGCAAGAGCGAACAAGAGCGAGGACCGGACAGGAGAUAAUGGCGUCGGAGUACUCCUUUGCCCGAGGCGUCUCCCUCCCCGCGCACCGGCCGCCCCUCACCUUCACCUCCUACAGGCUGCGGCACAGUGCCGCGCGCACGAUGGCGAAUCCUCGGGUCAUGGCGGCGGCGAGCGCGGUCUCAGUGGGCGCCGCCAGAAGGAUGCCCGGCUCAGUCAGAUACGGCGGCGCCGGGGUAGCGGCGUUGCGGGCGGAGGAGGUGGACGCGGUACCGCCGUCGGUGCCGGUGCGCGUCGCCUACGAGCUGCAGCUGGCCGGUCACCGCUACCUCGAUGUCAGAACGGAGGGUGAGUUUGGUGGUGGGCAUCCGGUGGGAGCGGUGAACAUCCCCUACAUGUAUAACACCGGGUCAGGAAUGGCGAAGAACUCGCACUUUCUCGAGCAAGUGUCGGCGAUCUUCCGCAGGGACGACGAGAUCAUCAUCAGAUGCCAAAGUGGCAAGAGAUCUCUCAUGGCAGCAGCCGAACUCUGCUCCGCUGGCUUCACUGCCGUGACGACAUCGCCGGAGGGUUCUCGACUUGGAGGGAGAACGGACUGCCGGUCAAUGGACGGUGGCAACGCGGUCAACAUCAUAAUUUGUCUUUGCAUGCUCCGAGACACCACAUCAGUGCACUGA
RNAcentral lists this ribosomal RNA (783 nucleotides) under Triticum aestivum (bread wheat). RNAcentral describes it as "partial small subunit ribosomal RNA". Lineage: Eukaryota; Viridiplantae; Streptophyta; Magnoliopsida; Poales; Poaceae. The record is from RNAcentral.